This 497-nucleotide ribosomal RNA is filed under the name uncultured bacterium. RNAcentral's name for it is "partial 16S ribosomal RNA". It matches the Rfam family "Bacterial small subunit ribosomal RNA", at positions 28 to 507 of the family's 1533-position model. The record is from RNAcentral.
GAUGAACGCUGGCGGCGUGCCUAAUACAUGCAAGUCGAGCGAACAGACGAGGAGCUUGCUCCUCUGACGUUAGCGGCGGACGGGUGAGUAACACGUGGAUAACCUACCUAUAAGACUGGGAUAACUUCGGGAAACCGGAGCUAAUACCGGAUAAUAUAUUGAACCGCAUGGUUCAAUAGUGAAAGACGGUUUUGCUGUCACUUAUAGAUGGAUCCGCGCCGCAUUAGCUAGUUGGUAAGGUAACGGCUUACCAAGGCAACGAUGCGUAGCCGACCUGAGAGGGUGAUCGCCCACACUGGAACUGAGACACGGUCCAGACUCCUACGGGAGGCAGCAGUAGGGAAUCUUCCGCAAGGGGCGAAAGCCUGACGUAGCAACGCCGCGUGAGUGAUGAAGGUCUUCGGAUCGUAAAACUCUGUUAUUAGGGAAGAACAAAUGUGUAAGUAACUAUGCACGUCUUGACGGUACCUAAUCAGAAAGCCACGGCUAACUACGUG